GUUUUCUCUUUAUUCUCUAUUUCCUUUUGCUUUUCCUUUUGGUCUCCGACCAAAUUUUUUAUGCAACUUCCUUUUUGUUUUUCAUUUUCUUUUCAUUUUCUCUUUCUCCGAUAGUUCUAUAUCUCUCGACAUUCUGAUUAUCUUCACAAUCAGAAUCACCCGCUGUUUAUUCAAUUUCUCAAGUUCCUAGCACUUCUCGUGAGGGUGAGGCUCAAUCUUUAGCUACGGCUUCGAUUCCUCGAGUACAUACUGGGAUUAUAAAUCAUAGUUCAUACCAAAUUUUCCUCUUCCUCCUCCUCUUCCUAUGGUUUUCCUGCUUCUUAAAAAAACAGCCCUCAAAAUAUAAAAAAAAAAUAAUAAGAAGAGGUCAUUGAGUGGUAAGGCUAAAGGUAAAAAGGCUAUUAAACAAAAAAAGCCAAAAUUGGCAAAUGCUGAUCAUAUAAUUCAAUCGCCAUAGGAAAUUUGUUGUAAUUUAUUUGCUUUUGAGAAGCAAGGAAAAUGAAGGAAAAUGUGGCAUUUUCAAAUAAAAUAAAAGAAGAAAAAAAAUGGCUUUUUUUCCAAAUGCCCACCAGGCCCACGCUAGAGCCUAGCACCCAGGCCCACGUUCAGCCUUCCAUCAGCUCCUCGAGCCUGAUGCACCAACCGGCUCCAGCAGCUUCACCACCCGAAGACUUCCCAGCCGUGCAUCUCCUUCCGCCUGGCCUCUGAUGCACCACCCAGCCAGCUAAAGACUUCCUCAUCACAUGCACCCAUUCGCCCCAAUCCAAACCACACGGGCCUGCCUCCUUCACCCAUCUGAAGCCCAACUCACCUGGCCCAAGCAUCCCAGCCGAGCAUCACGUGCUGCACAUGCCAGCCGCCUGCCACCAGCAACCAAAUAGCUGCAUUUUCCCAUUUUGAGCCUAAAAUUGCAUAAGUGUACCAUUUGUCCCCUAUGUUCAAAAUGCCAACUUUUUACCAUUUUCUCUACACAUUUUCACCACAACAUCAUCAUUACACCUUAUAAAUUACUUCUACAUACCAUAUUUAUUUUUUAAUUAAUCUAAUCAAUUUAAUUAAUUUAAAUUGAUUAUUUUAAUAAUCUCAUUUUGGCUAUAAAUAUGGUAUUUCAAGACCAUUUGGGGUGCUUAAUUUUUGGUUACCAUCUUCUUUUCUCUCAUUUUCUCUCUACCAUUCUCUCUUCCAUUUUGGGUUUUUCAAGAGCAUUUUGCAAGUAUGUAUGUCAUUUAUUUUGUAAUUUCUACUAUAGUUAUGUGCUUCUAAUCUUUUUCAUAAGAUUAUUAAGAUCAUGAUAAAGCAACUCGUAACUAGGUAAUAUUUAUGUUGUAUGUUGAUUUCCCUUGUAAUGCAACAAAGUUUA
This is a long non-coding RNA of Humulus lupulus (European hop), 1360 nucleotides long. RefSeq lists it as uncharacterized. The transcript has 3 exons. The record is from RefSeq and is a predicted model, not a curated record. NCBI's taxonomy places the organism in Eukaryota, Viridiplantae, Streptophyta, Magnoliopsida, Rosales, Cannabaceae.